CGAGCGAAGGGGAUAGGAGUUUCUUCUUAACCUUAGCGGCGGACGGGUGAAUAACACGUGGGUAAUCUCCCCUGGAGAGGGGGGAUAACAGGUCGAAAGGCCUUGCUAAUACCGCAUAACGGUAAAGAUGCUGCAUGGGCGUCUUAGCCAAAGGUUUAAUUCCGCUCAAAGGAUGAGCCCCGGGGCCCAUUAGCUAGUUGGUGAGGUAACCGGCUCCCCCAAGGCAACGAUGGGGUACCCGGCCUGAAGAGGGUGUUCGGCCACACUGGGAUGAGACACGGCCCAGACUCCUACGGGAGGCAGCAGUGGGGAAUAUUGCGCAAUGGGGGAAACCCUGACGCAGGGACACCGCGUGAGCGAUGAAGGCCUUCGGGUUGUAAAGCUCUGUCUUCCCUGACGAUAAUGACGGUAAGGGAGGAGGAAGCCACGGCUAACUACGUGCCAGCAGCCGCGGUAAUACGUAGGUGGCAAGCGUUGUCCGGAAUUAUUGGGCGUAAAGGGUGCGUAGGCGGCUCUUUAAGUGGGAUGUGAAAUCCCUAGGCUCAACCUAGGAACUGCAUUCCAAACUGGAGAGCUAGAGUGCAGGAGAGGAAAGCGGAAUUCCCAGUGUAGCGGUGAAAUGCGUAGAGAUUGGGAGGAACACCAGUGGCGAAGGCGGCUUUCUGGACUGUAACUGACGCUGAGGCACGAAAGCGUGGGGAGCCAAACAGGAUUAGAUACCCUGGUAGUCCAAAGCAAU
RNAcentral lists this ribosomal RNA (739 nucleotides) under Caloramator sp. RNAcentral describes it as "bacterial SSU rRNA". It matches the Rfam family "Bacterial small subunit ribosomal RNA", at positions 63 to 803 of the family's 1533-position model. Lineage: Bacteria; Bacillati; Bacillota; Clostridia; Eubacteriales; Clostridiaceae. The record is from RNAcentral.